UACGGAGGGGGCUAGCGUUGUUCGGAAUUACUGGGCGUAAAGCGCACGUAGGCGGCUUUGUAAGUUAGAGGUGAAAGCCCGGGGCUCAACUCCGGAAUUGCCUUUAAGACUGCAUCGCUAGAAUUGUGGAGAGGAUGGUGGAAUUCCCAGUGUAGAGGUGAAAUUCGUAGAUAUUGGGAAGAACACCGGUGGCGAAGGCGGCCAUCUGGACCGUAUCUGACGCUGAGGCGCGAAAGCGUGGGGAGCAAACAGG
This 253-nucleotide ribosomal RNA is filed under the name uncultured bacterium. RNAcentral describes it as "partial 16S ribosomal RNA". It matches the Rfam family "Bacterial small subunit ribosomal RNA", at positions 524 to 776 of the family's 1533-position model. The record is from RNAcentral.